UACCGAAGUUUUCCUCGGCAGUUAACUGCAGCCGGUUGCAUAAUUCGGCAGUUAACUGCCGAAGGGCAU
RNAcentral lists this microRNA precursor (69 nucleotides) under Medicago truncatula (barrel medic). RNAcentral's name for it is "MIR2629 microRNA precursor family". It matches the Rfam family "MIR2629 microRNA precursor family". The record is from Rfam by way of RNAcentral. Lineage: Eukaryota; Viridiplantae; Streptophyta; Magnoliopsida; Fabales; Fabaceae.